AUGCCGCGUGUGUGAGAAGGCCUUCGGGUUGUAAAGCACUUUUGUCCGGAAAGAAAUGGCUCUGGUUAAUACCUGGGGUCGAUGACGGUACCGGAAGAAUAAGGACCGGCUAACUACGUGCCAGCAGCCGCGGUAAUC
RNAcentral lists this ribosomal RNA (138 nucleotides) under uncultured bacterium. Its description in RNAcentral is "partial 16S ribosomal RNA". It matches the Rfam family "Bacterial small subunit ribosomal RNA", at positions 394 to 525 of the family's 1533-position model. The record is from RNAcentral.